Long non-coding RNA from Triticum aestivum (bread wheat), 833 nucleotides. RefSeq lists it as uncharacterized. The record is from RefSeq and is a predicted model, not a curated record. The transcript is spliced from 2 exons. Lineage: Eukaryota; Viridiplantae; Streptophyta; Magnoliopsida; Poales; Poaceae.
GAGGCGAAGCUAGUGAGGGAACCGGUGGUCGACCGGAUCCAGCGGAUGCCAGCCGCGCAAGAGGGAUCUAGCGCUCAAGGGAGCCAACGAGACGCGUGCGAGGCAACCGGCGGUCCAGGGGAUCCAGCCAAGGCGAGGCGUAUGAGGGGAUCCGACGCUCGAGCGGCUGCCUGGUCAGUUUGCUCAUCUUCCCUCCCCUUCUCUCUCAGGUCCUGAAGGCGGCAGCGGCAACGAGCCGGCAACGCCUCCGCUGAGGUUGCGGCGAUGGAACCCGCGUGGGGUGGUGCUGGGCGGGGCGAGGGUGCGGCAUGGGCCGCUGGCCUUUGGAACACAUAUCUACAUCCAUAGCUCUGGCGGCAACGGUGGCGGUAGAGCGGAUGACGUCUCAUCCUGCUCCUAGCCGGCGACGGUGGAUCAACGCCUAUUCUAAUUUAAUCCUCCUCUCUUCUUCUUGUACAGGGUACUCUUGUAGGGCAACCUGUUCUUCUCGAUGGUGCUCCAGCAACUGCAUAAUUCAGGCUGGAGGUGAUGGAGGGCACUGUACAAGAGGACAUUUGUAUGGGAACAACAAUACACCAGGUAAUGUUGUUGGCGAUGGUCAAUUGAUUUGAGCAUAUUUGGAGACUGGUAGGCGCGCGGCCAUACUGCCCGAGUCACCACCUGAGAGAGGAUCAGAGGAGAUGGGCAGAUGCUCUAGAGGAUUUUGUACAUAGAGCAACCUCCUCUUCAUCUAGCUGAUCUUUUCUCAAAAACUUGAGCGAUUGGACUUAUGCACUUGUCCCUUAGAGUCAAUGGCCACAGCCUCUUGCAUAUUCAGUGCCACUCUUCUUUCA